This 320-nucleotide long non-coding RNA is filed under the name Nicotiana benthamiana. Its description in RNAcentral is "long non-coding RNA (NBEN_LNC040880)". Lineage: Eukaryota; Viridiplantae; Streptophyta; Magnoliopsida; Solanales; Solanaceae. The record is from RNAcentral.
CCCAUUCCUUUCUUCUUCCAACUCAGUCAUACGAGCAUGAAGCCUAGAAAUCUCAGCAUCUUUGGUCCUACAUUGGUGAACCAAAGCCCUAAUUUUGCUAUUCACUGAGGUCUUCACUGAUGAACCAGGUUCAACAUGGGCUACACUUAGCAGAUAGUCAUAGGCCUUGAGAGUCUUGAUUCCAAAAUACUCCUUACUGGAGGCCAUCCCAUUUCUUCAAAGGAAUGUUCAGCCUGUCCUGUACAGUUGCCAUAAUGAAUCCAUAAGGAGUAGCAUGAGCCUUUGAACUACUGAUGACUCUGUCCAACAGCUUGACUAUG